This 428-nucleotide ribosomal RNA is filed under the name Verrucomicrobiota bacterium. RNAcentral's name for it is "Verrucomicrobia bacterium partial 16S ribosomal RNA". It matches the Rfam family "Bacterial small subunit ribosomal RNA", at positions 355 to 776 of the family's 1533-position model. The record is from RNAcentral. Lineage: Bacteria; Pseudomonadati; Verrucomicrobiota.
UAGGGAAUCUUCCGCAAUGGACGAAAGUCUGACGGAGCAACGCCGCGUGAGUGAAGAAGGCUUUCGGUUCGUAAAACUCUGUUGUUAGGGAAGAAAAAAUGUAUAGUAACUAUAUACAAAAGAUACGGUACUUAACCAGAAAGGGACGGCUAACUACGUGCCAGCAGCCUCGGUAAUACGUAGGUCCCGAGCGUUGUCCGGAUUUAUUGGGCGUAAAGCGAGCGCAGGCGGUUAGAAAAGUCUGAAGUGAAAGGCAGUUGCUCAACCAAUGUAGGCUUUGGAAACUGAUUAACUUGAGUGCAGAAGGAGAGAGUGGAAUUCCAUGUGUAGCGGUGAAAUGCGUAGAUAUAUGGAGGAACACCGGUGGCGAAAGCGGCUCUAUGGUCUGUAACUGACGCUGAGGCUCGAAAGCGUGGGGAGCGAACAGG